This 253-nucleotide ribosomal RNA is filed under the name uncultured bacterium. RNAcentral describes it as "partial 16S ribosomal RNA". It matches the Rfam family "Bacterial small subunit ribosomal RNA", at positions 524 to 776 of the family's 1533-position model. The record is from RNAcentral.
UACGUAGGGGGCAAGCGUUGUCCGGAUUUAUUGGGCGUAAAGAGCGUGUAGGCGGCCAUACAGGUCAGCUGUGAAAACUCGAGGCUCAACCUCGAGACGUCGGUUGAAACCGUAUGGCUAGAGUCCGGAAGAGGAGAGUGGAAUUCCCGGUGUAGCGGUGAAAUGCGCAGAUAUCGGGAAGAACACCUAUGGCGAAGGCAGCUCUCUGGGACGGUACUGACGCUGAGACGUGAAAGCGUGGGGAGCAAACAGG